CAAGGGUGAAAACUCAAAGAAAUGACGGGGGGCCCCCCCAACCGUUGAACCAGGGGGUUAAUUUGGAUCAAACGGGAAAACCUUUCCAUAUUUUGGCCUUCCAGAGACCGUCGCAGAGAUGCGAUUGUCCCUUCGGGAACUUUGAGGCCGGUUGGUCCAGGCUGUUGUCAAGUUGGGUUGUUAAAAGGUGGGUUAAGUUCCGCCACGGGGGCCACCCUUUUCUUUUAUUGCCCAUGAUUUGGUCGGGCACUCAAAGGAGACUGCCGGUGACAAACCGGAGGAAGGUGGGGAUGACGUCAAGUCAUCAUGCCCCUUAUGACUAGGGCUACACACGUGCUACAAUGGCGGAUACAAAGAGAAGCGACCUCGCGAGAGCAAGCGGAUCUCAUAAA
This 392-nucleotide ribosomal RNA is filed under the name uncultured bacterium. RNAcentral's name for it is "bacterial SSU rRNA". It matches the Rfam family "Bacterial small subunit ribosomal RNA", at positions 889 to 1280 of the family's 1533-position model. The record is from RNAcentral.